This 168-nucleotide ribosomal RNA is filed under the name uncultured soil bacterium. RNAcentral's name for it is "partial 16S ribosomal RNA". It matches the Rfam family "Bacterial small subunit ribosomal RNA", at positions 26 to 221 of the family's 1533-position model. The record is from RNAcentral.
AGAACGAACGCUGGCGGCAUGCCUAAUACAUGCAAGUCGAACGAACUCUUCGGAGUUAGUGGCGCACGGGUGCGUAGCGCGUGGGAAUCUGCCCCUUGGUUCGGAAUAACAGUUGGAAACGACUGCUAAUACCGGAUGAUAGACGAAAGUCCAAAGAUUUAUCGCCAA